CUGGUGAGGAUGUGUUGUACAUGUGGCUCAUAUAGAGUGGAACACAAGCCCUGGAUCAAAUGGGCCGAUGAUGGGUCCUCAAACUCAGCUAGUGUUGUAGAAGGAGACUCGGAUUCUGGAGAUGGAGAUAUGUUAUCAGUCUCUGCAGGUAAUUCUGUAAAAUUAAAUGACUGUUGGGUACUUGAUUCAGCCUGUUCAUAUCACAUGUGUCCUCACCGGGAUUGGUUUCAUUCAUAUCGUUCUGGAAAUUUUGGAUCUGUUCUGAUGGGUAAUGAUGCAUCAUGUAAGGUCAUUGGAAUGGGGUCUAUAAAAUUUAAAAUGUUCGAUGGUGUGAUAAGGACCUUGGAAAAUGUUAGGCAUGUACCUGAGUUGAAAAAGAAUCUAAUUUCUUUAGGCACUUUAGACACAAACGGUUACUCUUAUAAGUCAGAGUGUGGGGCUCUAACAGUGAAGAAAGGGGCUAUGAUUGUGAUGAAGGGUCAGAAAUUAGUAGGGAAUAUCUACAAACUACCCAGGGAUACAGUUGUAGGUGGAGUUGUUACAGCAGAAUCAGAGUCAGAUGACACUCUUCUAUGGCAUAUGCAACUGGGGCAUAUAGGAGAACGUGGCAUGAUUGAGCUUCACAAGAGAAAUUUGUUGAAAGGGGUAAAUGAAGAAGUCUUUAUACGGGCUUAAGCAGUCUCCACGGCAAUGGUACAAGAAGUUUGACUCUUAUAUGAUUCAGAUUGGCUACAGUCAUUGUGAGUAUGAUUGUUGCGUAUACUACAGAGUUCUUGAGGAUAACUCAUAUAUUUUCAAAAUACAGUUCAAGAUGGGAAAGUACAAGACAGAGGGAAUUCUUGAUUAUGUGCACUCAGAUGUUUGGGGACCUGUGAGGGAGUUGUCCAAAGGUGGAUCUCAGUACUUUAUUACUUUCAUUGAUGACUUUACUAGAAAAGUUUGGGUAUAUUUCAUGAAGCACAAGUCUGAAGCCUUUGCCAAGUUCAAACUAUGGAAAGCAGAAGUAGAGAACCAGAUGGGCAGAAAAAUUAAGUAUCUGAGGACAGAUAACGGUACAGAGUAUACAGAUUCACAGUUUCUGAGAUUUUGUGAGGAACAUGGUAUUCAGCGGCACUAUACAGCUCGCAAGACACCGCAACAGAAUGGUGUUGCGGAAAGGAUGAACCCAAAGAGUGAAGAAGAUGUUGCAGAGAUGUCAAAGGUACCUUAUGCCAGUGCAGUUGGAUGUUUGAUGUAUGCAAUGGUGUGUACCAGACCAGAUUUAGCACAUGCAGUCAGUGUGGUUAGUAAGUAUAUGGCUAAUCCUGGUAGAGAGCAUUGGAGAGCUGUAAAGUGGAUUUUCAGGUACUUGAAAGGUACAAUGGAGUGUGGGAUCAUGUUUGAGAGACAACAUGGUGAUAUUUCAGCUCAAGGAUAUGUAGAUGCAGAUUAUGCAGAGGACUUGGAUGACAGAAGGUCCCCUACAGGUUAUGUUUUCACACUCGCAGGUGGGCCCAUAUGUUGGAGGUCAAUGGUGCAAUCAAUUGUGGCAUUAUCUACAACUGAAGCAGAAUACAUGGCGGCAACUGAGGCAGCCAAGGAAUUAUUGUGGUUGAAAGGGCUUGUCAGGGAACUUGGAAUCAAACAAGAUGGAAUGAAGCUGUACUGUGAUAGUCAGAGUGCCAUCUUCCUAGCUAAGAAUCAGAUUUAUCAUGCAAGAACCAAACACAUUGACGUGAGAUUUCAUAAGAUAAGAGAGUUGGUUACUUCAGGAGAGCUGUUGUUAGAGAAGGUGCAUACCUCAGAAAAUGCAGCAGACAUGAUGACAAAGCCAAUCACAAUGGAUAAGUUCAAGCAUUGCUUGAACUUGAUUAACAUCUCUAACUGUUAGAGAAGAUGUGUCCCAACCCAUUGGUCCUAGAUGGUGUGAUUUUUUCCAGGUUAUGUUUUUUCUCCUAAAGGGUGAAUAUUCGCCAAGGUGGAGAUUGUUGUACAUGCGGCUCAUAUAGAGUGGAACACAGGCCCUGGAUCAAAUGGGCUGAUGCCGGCGCGGAGCGGAGCGACGGCAUCGGCCUUGCGCGGGUUUAAUUCACUGUCUGGUUGUUAGGGACGCUCAAUGGGUUGGGGGUGCGGGGGCAACGCCCCCGCGGUACGGUACAGGGGUAUUUUCUGUACGGGCCUUAAAGUUUUAUAUGGGCCCAGAUUAGGGUUAGUAUAAAUAAUAUGUUGUAACCCUAUUUUUCACAACGGAAUAAAGAAAUCUCCGCUUCGCUCUCGUGGACGUAGGCACAUCGCCGAACCACGUAAAAUUCUUGUGUUGAUUUCCGUUUUUCAUCUCUUUAAUAUUGCGCAUAAAAUCCAACAGGAUGUUUCUGAGCCUUUAUUACUCAGUUCUUGUAGGGUCUCAAAAUCGCUUAAGUUGUAUGGCUUUCAGUGUUCUUCUCCUUACAAUGCACUAACAGCCACAUUGUCUUCUAUUACUACUCCCACAAGAUAUACACGGGCUGCCAAGCAUGAGUGUUGGCAACAAGCCAUGCAGGAAGAACUUCGGGCACUAGAGGAUAAUCAUACUGGGAUCUUGUGAAUUGUCCUCCCUCUAUGACACCACUUAGCUGCAAUUAGGUUUAUGCAAUCAAAGUUAAGCCUGAUGGCAGUUUGGAUCGCUACAAGGCUCGCUUAGUUGCUCUUGGGAAUCAUCAGGAGUAUGGUGUGAAUUAUAAGGAGACAUUUGUACCGAUUGCCAAGAUGAAAUUUUUUUUCUAAUUGUUCUUGCAAUUGCUACCUCUCAGACCUAUCUUUACAUCAGAUGGAUGUACAGAAUGCUUUUCUUCAUGAUGAUCUCAAGGAAGCUAUCUACAUGAAACCUCGUCCUGGUCUUCUAUCUUCUCCUACAGUUGUGUGCAAGCUUCGGAAGUCCUUGUAUAGAUUGAAGCAAGCACCUAGGGCGUGGUAUAAUAAGUUUUGCUCUACUUUACAGCAGUAUUUUUUCAGUAAGAGCAAGUAUGAUGCUUCCAUGUUUCUGCACAAGUUCUGCAGGCAUUGUCAUGCUCUUGGUGUAUGUGGAUGAUGUUGUUAUUACUGGUUUGACACUGACUUGAUUGCUAGCUUAAAGGCUCAUUUACAAGCUUUUUUUGCAUGAAAGAUCUUGGUCAUCACACGUAUUUCUUGGGCCUCGAGAUUCAGUAUACUCCUAGUGAUCUUUUUCUUAAUCAGCAUAAAUAUGCCACUGAUUUUGUGGCAUCUGAUGGAUAUAUUGAUAGCUCUACCAGUGACUCUCCUAUAGAGAUGAAUGCUAAGCUACGUAAGGAGGAUGGGAUGCUUCUUCCUAAUCUUUCUCUAUGUUGGACAUUAGUUUGGAGUCUUGUAUACCUUACUAUUACGCGCCCUGACUUAUCAUUUGCAAUCCAAUAAGUCAGCCAGUUCCUUCAAGCUCCUACUCAUCUUCACUUGAUCCCGGUCAAGAGAUUGAUUCGCUAUGUGAAAGGAACUCCUUCUCUUGGUUUGUUCUAUCUUACUAAAUCUUCCAUAGUCGGCUUAUAGUGAUGCGGACUAUGUUGGUUGUGCAGAUACUUGCAGGUUUACUACUAGUUGGUGUAUGUUUCUGGGCACUACUUUGAUUUCUUGGAAGAGUAAGAAACAGGAUCAGGUCUCCAAGUCUUCUACUGAAUCAGAAUACUGUGCAAUGUUCCAAGCUUGCUCUGAGAUUCUAUGGCUUCGUGAUAUACUUGACGAACUUGGUUUCUCUCAGCUCGAUCCCACACCAUUACAUGUUGAUCAUACGAGUGCAAUUCAUAUUACUACUAAUCCUGUAUUCCAUGAGCGUACCAAGUAUUUUGAAGUCAAUUGUCCCUUUAUUUGUGAUGCUUAUGAAGAUAAAGCUAUUUCUCUCCCACACAUCACUAGUGAUUUGCAAUUGGCUGACAUCUUCAGUUUCUUCACUAAAGCUCUUACUUCCAAGCGCCAUCGUUUCUUACUAGACAAAUUGAUGCUUCCAGAUUCCUCUGCAUCAAUUUGAGGGGAUGUCAAUUGGGCGUUAUUAUUUCUCAAAUACUGUGCUGAUUGAAUUUCCAUGUAUAGAGAAUAUGACUGAUCUAGUUUCUAUGUAUAGAGAGAAUGUGGCUGAUCUGGUUUCUAUCUAUAGCUGGUAAAUAUGGUUAUGUGUAUUUCUUUUCUUCUUCUGUACCUGCCUAUGUCUAUAUAAUAUAGAAAACCUACCUCAUUGAGGAGGCACUUCGAAUCAAAUUGACAAGAAUGACAAAGAAUAAUUGUAUUUUAUUGUACUGAAGCUUCUUGUAACUGUAGUUAACAAUCUUUUCAAUCACAAUGCUUGUGUACUUUCAGAUCAAGGAGGAAAAAGAAUGCAUCAAGUGGUGAAAACAUAGAGUCUGUUACUGUAGGUAACUCACUUUCUCUUCAAGGUGAUAUUAAUUUUAAUGAGUGAGAAAUUGCAGCUUAUCUUAGAUUCUGAUCUCUCUCAAAACAGAACAUACUACCUUGCCUAUUAUUGAUGAAGUUGAUGAUCUAUUAAAAUUUGGAUGUAACAAUAAAAUAUUUUUGCAUUUUGGCUGUUAGACAGUCUGAUUCAGUAGAGAACACCCACACUGAACUUAGUUUUGGUUGAGAGCUAGACAAGUACUAUAAUAUGACGUUGUAGUUAGGUGUCAGGCUUGUUUUACUGCAUAUUUUGCUUCUAACUUAAUUGUUUGUUUCCUGUUUAUGACAUUGACUGUUGUUUAAUAAGGUCAAGGGACCAGUGACGGGAAAAGGGCUCUGUACCAUUGCAACUAUUGUAACAAAGACAUCACAGGGAGAAUUCGUAUCAAGUGCGCUUUAUGUUCUGAUUUUGACUUAUGCAUAGAAUGUUUCUCAGUCGGAGCCGAGGUUCAUCCUCACAAAAGCAAUCACCCAUACAGGGUUAUGGUCAGUACUACCAUCUGAAGAUGGUACUUUUACAAAACUUAAUUCAAAGAAUCCACUACCCUAGCUCUGAAGUUAAUUUAUCUUAUCUCAGACGUUUCAGAUAAAUAUGUUAUUCCAUUUGUUUCUACGAGAAUAUAGCAAUUUUUACUAGCAAAACAUUCCAUAUUUUGAUUCCACAAGAAUGUAAAUUCUCUUAGCAGUUAUCUCUUUAUAAAUGGAUUUGCAUGAGAUAUAGUGCUUCAUAUUGUGCAAUUUUUCCGUGGAUUUUGGUUUCCUUUCAAAUUUGCCAGAGAAAGUUCGUUGUACAUUGCAAAGGGAAUAAUGUGCCUUUUAUCAAUCUUUGUCCCAAAUAUAUUGCCAUAUGGAUCAUGUGUUAUAUCUUUCUUAUCCUAUAUUAUGUUUUUCAGUUAUUCUAAGUUUCCAAGUCACACAAGUCUUCCAUACUAAAUAUUGCUGCAAUGCUACCCAAGGGAUGUAUCCCCUGGUAGUUCUUAUGAUUUUGCUACUAUCAUUGGAACAGGACAUCUUAUCAUUUCCUCUCAUCUGUCCGGAUUGGAAUGCUGAUGAAGAAAUGUUACUUUUGGAGGUGUUAUGUAAUCUCCUUUUUAAGUGUUUAUCAUCUCAUUAAUCAGUGAAGUAUUCUUAUUUCUUUUUUGAAAGUGUUAUCUCACUUGGCUUCUGUGUUCUGCUUUGCUUUAUUGUAUAUCACAUAACUAGGGAAUUGAGAUGUAUGGCAUGGGAAACUGGGCAGAAGUUGCUGAGCAUGUUGGGACAAAGACGAAGGAAGUGUGCAUUGAACAUUAUAGGAAUGCUUACCUAAACUCUCCUUGCUUCCCUCUACCGGUACAGUUAGAUGCAAAACUAAGUUAUUUCUAAGAUUUGAUUUUCCUUUCUUGCAACUGACUCAAAACACAUUUGAUUUCUCAGGAUAUGACACAUGUCGUUGGUAAAAAUAGAAAAGAACUGCUUGCUAUGGCUAAAGGGCACCUUGAGGAUAAAAAGGGUAACUUCUCUCUCUCUCUCUCUCUCUCUCUCUCUCCCUCAUGGGGCAUAUUUUUGUGCACGUCUAUUAAAUAUUACAAUGCCUUAACAGAAAAUAUGAGGGAGGAAUUUAACUAAUUCUGUUGGGCAAUGUUUCUGGGUUGACUUCUCAGCCGGCCUGUUUAGUGGAUAUGUGGACUGCAAUUGAUUGCUUAACACAAAAUGUUAUAUGAUAAGGAUGUUCAGUUGUGUAGAAUUUUAGCUAUGCUAUUGGUUUUAACUAAUAAAAAGUUAUGUAAUUUCGAUUGUUUGUGGUAAAGGGAGUGCUACCAGUCUUAAUGUAACACGUUAUUCUUUGUCUAAUUUUUCGUUACAAUGAUUUUGCAUCUGUUGUGCAUGUGACUCAUAUAGAGUGGAACACAGGCCCUAGAUCAAAUGGGCCGAUGCCGGCGUGGGUUUAAUUCAUUGUCUGGUUGCUAGGGACGUUGAAUGGGUUAGGGAUGCGGGGGCAACGCCCCCGCGGUACGGUGCAUGGGUAUUUUCUGUACGGGCCUUAAAGUUUUAUAUGGGUCCAGGCUAUGGUUAGUAUAAAUAAUAUGUUGUAACCCUAUUUUUCACAACUGAAUAAAGAAAUCUCCGCUUCGCACUCGUGGACGUAGGCACAUCGUCGAACCACGUAAAAUUCUUGUGUUGAUUUCCGUUUUUCAUCUCUUUAAUAUUGCGCAUAAAAUCCAACAACUGGUAUCAGAGCCAGGUUCACAUGGCGAGUUCUUCGAUUGCAAAAUUUGAUGUGAUGAAGUUUGACGGAUCUGGGAACUUCGAAUUAUGGCAGCGAAGGGUGAAGGAUUUGUUGGCGCAACAAGGGAUGAUGAAGGCACUAUCUGGGAAGAAACCAGAGAGUACGUCAGAUACCAAUUGGGAAGAGCUCGAGGCGCGAGCAGUUGGUACAAUUCGGCUUUAUUUGGCGGACGAAAUCAUGUAUCACGUCAUGGACGUUGAGUCUCCGACGGAGGUUUGGGAGAAAUUGGAGAGUCGUUAUAUGUCAAAGUCUCUCACGAACAAGCUGCAUCUAAAGCAGCGACUGUAUGGGCUGAAGAUGUUGGAGGGUACGGAUCUGAUUCAACACACCAAUGUGUUCAAUCAGAUCAUCAGCGAUCUACUGCGACUUGAAAUCAAGUUUGAUGAUGAAGACAAGGCAAUGAUUUUGUUGUGCUCACUGCCUCCUUCGUACGACCAUCUGGUGACCACGUUGACGUGGGGUAAAGAGAGACUCGAAUUGGAGGAAGUCAUAUCAGCCCUGUUAGCCUACAACCAGCGGAAACUGCAUACUGGUGAAACUUCACAGGGUGAAGGGUUGAUCGUAAAAGGCUUCCAGGAUCGUGGGAGAAGGAAGAACAGAGGUGUUUCUUUUAGAGGGAAUACAAGAUCAAAAUCUAGGAAUCAAAAUAAGAAAAACGUCAAGUGCUACAAAUGCCAUCAGAUGGGCCACUUUUAGAGAGACUGUCCCAAUAAGAAGUAGAGUGAUGAAAGGAAAGGUGAUGGGUCCUCAAACUCAGCUAGUGUUGCAGAAGGAGACUCGGAUUCUGGAGAUGGAGACAUGUUAUCAGUCUCUGCAGGUAAUUCUGUAAAAUUAAAUGACCGUUGGGUACUUGAUUCAGCCUGUUCAUAUCACAUGUGUCCUCAUCGGGAUUGGUUUCAUUCAUAUCGUUCUAGUAAUUUUGGAUCUGUUCUGAUGGGUAAUGAUGCAUCAUGUAAGGUCAUUGGAAUGGGGUCCAUAAAAUUUAAAAUGUUCAAUGAUGUGAUAAGGACCUUGGAAAAUGUUAGGCAUGUACCUGAGUUGAAAAAGAAUCUAAUUUCUUUAGGCACUUUAGACACAAACGGUUACUCUUAUAAGUCAGAGUGUGGGGCUCUAACAGUUAAGAAAGGGGCUAUGAUUGUGAUGAAGGGUUAGAAAUUAGUAGGGAAUAUCUACAAACUACUCGAGGAUACAGUUGUAGGUGGAGUUGCUACAGCAAAAUCAGAGUCAGAUGACGCUCUUCUAUGACAUGCGACUGGGGCAUAUAGGAGAACGUGGCAUGGUUGAGCUUCACAAGAGGAAUUUGUUGAAGGGGGUAAAAUCAUACAAGUUGAAUUUCUGCAAGUUUUGUGUACUUGGAAAACAGUCCAGAGUACAGUUCAAGAUGGGAAAGCACAAGGCAGAGGGAAUUCUUGAUUAUGUGCACUCAAAUGUUUGGGGACCAGGGAGGGAGUUGUCCAAAGGUGGAUCUCAGUACUUUAUUACUUUCAUUGAUGACUUCUCUAGAAAAGUUUGGGUAUAUUUCAUGAAGCACAAGUCUGAAGCCUUUGCCAAGUUCAAAUUAUGGAAAGCAGAAGUAGAGAACCAA
Molecule: long non-coding RNA, 8264 nt
Filed under: Olea europaea (common olive)
Lineage: Eukaryota; Viridiplantae; Streptophyta; Magnoliopsida; Lamiales; Oleaceae
Description: long non-coding RNA (OEUR_LNC008015)
Source: RNAcentral